AGAGUUUGAUUAUGGCUCAGGAUGAACGCUGGCGGCGUGCCUAGCACAUGCAAGUCGAGCGAGAAACUCAUGACCAAUACUCGGUAGCGUGAUGAGCGGAAAGCGGCGGACGGGUGAGUAACGCGUAGGCAACCUGCCCCUUGCAGAGGGGUAGCCUCGGGAAACCGGGAUUAAAACCUCAUAAUGCGUAACGGAGACAUCUCCGAUACGCCAAAGAUUUAUCGGCAAGGGAUAGGCCUGCGUCUGAUUAGUUAGUUGGUGGGGUAACGGCCUACCAAGGCAGCGAUCAGUAGCCGACCUGAGAGGGUGAUCGGCCACAUUGGAACUGAGACACGGUCCAAACUCCUACGGGAGGCAGCAGUGGGGAAUAUUGCACAAUGGGCGAAAGCCUGAUGCAGCAACGCCGCGUGAAGGAUGAAGGCCCUUGGGUCGUAAACUUCUGUUCUAAGGGAAGAUAAUGACGGUACCUUAGGAGCAAGUCCCGGCUAACUACGUGCCAGCCGCCGC
This 507-nucleotide ribosomal RNA is filed under the name uncultured bacterium. RNAcentral describes it as "bacterial SSU rRNA". It matches the Rfam family "Bacterial small subunit ribosomal RNA", at positions 8 to 518 of the family's 1533-position model. The record is from RNAcentral.